Molecule: non-coding RNA, 122 nt
Filed under: Spirochaetota bacterium
Lineage: Bacteria; Pseudomonadati; Spirochaetota
Description: Spirochaetes bacterium MoCo sequence
Rfam family: Molybdenum/Tungsten riboswitch aptamer (Moco RNA motif)
Source: RNAcentral
UCAGCCACGUUCCUUCGAGCCUUUGCGCCUACCGGCUUCAUGCCCAUGGUGCUCAGGCCAUUGGGCCGCUGUGGAAACACCGUGACCUUCCACCUUUGAAAAGGAGGAAACGCAAUGCUCGU